GAGACCCACGCCAACAGUUGCCAGCACGUUCUCCGGAAUGGUGGGGACACUGUUGGGACCGCCUCUGCUAAAGAGGAGGAAGGAAUGGGCAACGGUAGGUCAGCAUGCCCCGAAUUAUCCGGGCUACACGCGGGCUACAAUGGUCAGGACAAUGGGUAUCGACACCGAGAGGUGAAGGCAAUCUCUUAAACCUGUCCUUAGUUCGGAUUGUGGGCUGCAACUCGCCCACAUGAAGCUGGAAUCCGUAGUAAUCGCGGAUCAACAUUCCGCGGUGAAUAU
This 279-nucleotide ribosomal RNA is filed under the name uncultured archaeon. RNAcentral describes it as "partial 16S rRNA". It matches the Rfam family "Archaeal small subunit ribosomal RNA", at positions 1047 to 1325 of the family's 1478-position model. The record is from RNAcentral.